UACGUAGGGGGCUAGCGUUGUCCGGAAUCACUGGGCGUAAAGAGCGCGUAGGCGGCUAGAUAAGUCCGGUGUGAAAGUCACAGGCUCAACCUGUGAAUGCCGCUGGAAACUGUCUGGCUAGAGUCCGGAAGGGGCGAGUGGAAUUCCGGGUGUAGUGGUGAAAUGCGUAGAGAUCCGGAGGAACCCCAGUGGCGAAGGCGGUGCCCUGGCUCGCAACUGACGCUCAGACACGACAGCAUGGGGAGCGAACGGG
Molecule: ribosomal RNA, 253 nt
Filed under: uncultured bacterium
Lineage: Bacteria
Description: partial 16S ribosomal RNA
Rfam family: Bacterial small subunit ribosomal RNA
Source: RNAcentral